GACGAACGCUGGCGGCGUGCUUAACACAUGCAAGUCGAACGGUGAAGCUCCAGCUUGCUGGAGUGGAUCAGUGGCGAACGGGUGAGUAACACGUGAGCAACCUGCCCCUGACUCUGGAAUAAGCGCUGGAAACGGCGUCUAAUACUGGAUACGAGAAGGGUCCGCAUGGGCACUUUCUGGAAAGUUUUUCGGUUGGGGAUGGGCUCGCGGCCUAUCAGCUUGUUGGUGAGGUAAUGGCUCACCAAGGCGACGACGGGUAGCCGGCCUGAGAGGGCGACCGGCCACACUGGGACUGAGACACGGCCCAGACUCCUACGGGGGGCAGCAGUGGGGAAUAUUGCACAAUGGGCGAAAGCCUGAUGCAGCGACGCCGCGUGAGGGAUGACGGCCUUCGGGUUGUAAACCUCUUUCAGCAGGGAAGAAGCGAAAGUGACGGUACCUGCAGAAGAAGCACCGGCUAACUACGUG
This 468-nucleotide ribosomal RNA is filed under the name uncultured bacterium. Its description in RNAcentral is "partial 16S ribosomal RNA". It matches the Rfam family "Bacterial small subunit ribosomal RNA", at positions 28 to 507 of the family's 1533-position model. The record is from RNAcentral.